Molecule: ribosomal RNA, 942 nt
Filed under: Triticum aestivum (bread wheat)
Lineage: Eukaryota; Viridiplantae; Streptophyta; Magnoliopsida; Poales; Poaceae
Description: partial small subunit ribosomal RNA
Source: RNAcentral
AUGCGAUGGGAGGGCUCAUCGGCGCUGUUGUGGAGCAGCCUGGAGUUGGUGCGCACCUCGGCGACGUCGCGAAGGGAGCGGACGACGACAUCGCCGGUGAACCGGUCGUGGAGGAGGGGCACAGGCGCGUCGAGGGAAUCCCGAAGCUGCUGGAGAUGGACGGCAAUGCGCGGUAGCACGUCGUCGAACGUGGAGGCGCUGAGGGGGGGGGCGCCGCGAGAGCAGAGGCCCACUCAGCAGCGAUGUCCCGCAUGGCGGGCGACUGACGGGUCACCCCAUGGGGGGCCUCUCCCACCGGAGCCGCCUGCUCCUGCAGAGAGGCCACGACCGGGAGGAUGCGGGGCAGCCGCCUUUCGACCUUGCGCUGGGCGUCGCGGAACGACACGAGCAGGGCCAGGCAGCUCAGAGGAAGCCGCUGCCGACCCCGUACGUCCAACCGAAGACGGCCAUGAAGUUUGCGUUCGCGCAGAGGCCGUCAAACUUCGUGUCGUCGGGCAGGGUGAGAUCCCCAUACCUCCGCCUGAUGCUGGGGAGCGCCUCCACGAGAGCGUCGCGUGCUCUCGACAGCUGAGCAGCGCGCGGCGAAUCUUCCGAAGCAAGCGCGCGGCGUCGGAGAGCGCUCCGCCCAGCGCCGCCGCCUCCCGGAUCUGCAGGAUGUUGAGCACCCUCCAGUCUUGGUGCGCGACGAGGCGGCUCACAUCCGCCAGCGCCCUUGGAGCGUCCCCGAGACGGUCGAUCCGCAUCAGGACGGCGUCCCGGCCAUGGCCGCCGUCCUCCGCCUCCUGCGCGACCUCCGCGCUGGUGGAGAGAAGGGACAGCAUCGCCUCCUCCCUUUCUCUCGAUCUCGAUCGAUCCCUCGUCUCUUUCUCUGGAUCGAUUGAUCGAUUCUUCCUCUCUCUGGAUCGAUGGAUUGAUUGUUCCUCUUUUCUCUGGAUCGAUUGA